RNAcentral lists this unclassified non-coding RNA (2601 nucleotides) under Hevea brasiliensis (rubber tree). Lineage: Eukaryota; Viridiplantae; Streptophyta; Magnoliopsida; Malpighiales; Euphorbiaceae. The record is from RNAcentral.
GCAAAAUGCCUUACGAUCAAAUCAUAUAAUACAAAUGAAGGAUAACAUCUGAAAAAUGGCAUUGCCAUUAAUUAGCUGCCAGCUUAAAUACCCACAUAAAAGGAAGUGAUAACAUAUACUUCCAAACAUAAAGGUAAAUCUGCGGGUACAAGCUAAAAGGGUUAGCCAAUCUUUGAUUCUAACAACAAAGAUACAAAACAGGAAAAAUGUGGCUCUAGACACUGCAUUAUCAUAAUAAAUUCACAAGAAAUAUUAUGAGCUUGCUAUAUAACACGGAGAAAUAAAUGAAUAGAAGAUACAGGAAGCUCCUCGUUUCAUUUAUCCUUCUGAAAUUUCUCCACAUAAGCCUGUACAAGUUUGGUCAGCCUCGGCUUUGAAAAUGACAAAUAGUGUUGAAUUUUUUCUGGUGUUUGAGGAAUAGAAGCCCCCUGCAUAGAACCAAUAACUUUGUCGACUACUUUCUUCACAAUGUUUUUGUAAGCAUCUUUGCUCAAUUGACCUUCCUUCCAUGUGGGUUUCAGAAGCUCCUUAACGAAUUCCACAAGUGCAAACUUAAAUGCCCGAAUCCCCUUAACAUCCUUGCUUUUUCUGCCCUCAUCAGUCUUGUCAUCUCCAUCAAUGUUCUCCAAGGGGUCGUUUUCUUGCGCAGUCUUGUCCUCCUCUAGUUCCCUGCUUUCCUCAGUCACCGCUCCAUUGUUUUCCUUGGUAACUUUGGAAUUUGAACCAGGUUCCAUCUCAUUUAACUGGCAACUCUUGCUACUAGGUUCUUGCAAACUGCGGUACUGGUUAUAACCACCACCAUUUGGUGGGCCAACAACAGAUGGAGAAAAACUUUUGGAUGGCAUUUCUGGUUUCCCAUCUGAAAUGUUUUUCUGUCUAACAAGGUUUGGUGAAAACCCUGGGGGAUUGUUAUUGACAACAUGCUUCUCAGGGGCAAUGUUGUCACAUAUAGGAUUAUACUGCUUCCUCAGCCCUACCUUUUGAUUUGAUUCUGUAGUCACUGCAGAAUCUGGUUUAACAAGCGCCACUGAGUUGGCAUAGGAGGAUAUCUCUGUAUUGUUAUGAACAGAAAGAUGGGGAAGCUGCUGUCCAUUUGCAAGUAAUUGAGCUAGAGAGGAUGAGAUGUUGGUAAGCUGAGUCAGUUGUUCACUGCUUACCUUCUGAGUCUUAGAAACUCCAGAAUUCACUUGUGAUGCAUUUGCUUCCCCAUUAUCUGGCUUGUUAAUAGUCCUUCCCUCCUGAAGCAGCAUCUGAUUUUGAGGAUUCACAUUAUCUCCUGAACUUGAGAUUGUUAAUUGACCUUGUCCAACCACAUUUAAGCAUGGAAGAGGUAAAACAUUUGAAUUCAUGCCGUUCUGAUCAAAGCUUUGUGCAGACAUGAUAUUGGCAUAAACGCUAGCAUGAGAACUGGCAGUUUUUCCAGUAACGCUAUUAUCAUCACGAGGCAAAGCAUUUGCAACAACCUCCCUUAAAUUGUAGUCCUGAUGUUUGGCAGAUGAUUCAUUUAUCAAAGAUGGCAUAACUGCAGUGGCAUCAUGUGCAUGACCUGAAACUUGAGUUAUACUGGCAUUGCAAUUGGUUAAAGCAGGCUCUUGUUUAUCAAUACAUUUGGGGUGUGUAACUAUAUAAUUCCAUUCAGGAGACAUGUCCAUAUCCCCAAGCCAAUUCUCACCACAUGCUCUUUGUUCAGAAGCAAGCAUGUUAUCACUAGCGUUUUCUGCCUUCCAUGUAAGGGCUGUUUCACUCUUGACCAUCUUAUGCUCAACUGGUCGAUCACCAAGUGUCUUAUCUUCCUCCAAACAAUGACCCCAUCCACCAUCAACAGAUCGUGUAGAGCCCCUUUGAUCAGGGGCAACAACUGUAUCAUUUUUAUGCCCACUCAACUUCCCAGUAUCUGAAGCACUUGUAGAGGCCCAUUUUGGGACAUUCCACAAUUUCUCUGGAUCAUCCGUGUUUCGGACAAGUGAAUGUCUGCCAUCCUGUGACCUAUCAGGACUUCCAUGGGCCAAAUCCUGAUGUGAAAACCUGCAGUAUUUUCCAUUUCGACAGUUACCUGCAGCAAAAAAUUUGCAGGGAACAUUAGCUGCUCUGAAGGUUUCACGGUCACCUUGUCUCUCUAGAGAUGCAUCUCUAUGUCUUCUGUCAUUAUUUCUUUGCCUAAUUACCUCAUUAGAAGACCCCUUAGCAGCUGCAUUAGAGGCAACAUGAUGAGAAAACCUGCAGCAGGCAACCCUCCUACAGUCGCCUUUAAGAAAAACAUUACAACAAUCAGUAGAUCUUCCACUCCCUGAGGAGUACUCCCUGGAUUCAUGGGGAGUGGUAUAUUUUGAAGUUACAGUUUUCCUGUGUCUUUCCCAGCCAUCCUCAUAACUUUGAGUACCUUGGUGAAGAAAUUGACAGUGACUACCUCUCCUGCAUCUCCCAACAGCAAAAUCUUUACAUAAUUGAGCUGAUACACCUGAUCUGCUUCUACUUCUCUCGUACAAUCCUGAUUCUCGCCCAAAGCCACGGACUGGACUUCUACUCCUGCUCCGGCUCUCGCUCCGGCUCCUACUUCUUCUUGAUCUUUUCCAUUCACUUUUAGGAGAGUUGCGUCGGUUU